AUUGAACGCUGGCGGCAGGCCUAACACAUGCAAGUCGAGCGGAUGAAGGGAGCUUGCUCCUGGAUUCGGCGGCGGACGGGUGAGUAAUGCCUAGGAAUCUGCCUGGUAGUGGGGGAUAACGUCCGGAAACGGGCGCUAAUACCGCAUACGUCCUGAGGGAGAAAGUGGGGGAUCUUCGGACCUCACGCUAUCAGAUGAGCCUAGGUCGGAUUAGCUAGUUGGUGGGGUAAAGGCCUACCAAGGCGACGAUCCGUAACUGGUCUGAGAGGAUGAUCAGUCACACUGGAACUGAGACACGGUCCAGACUCCUACGGGAGGCAGCAGUGGGGAAUAUUGGACAAUGGGCGAAAGCCUGAUCCAGCCAUGCCGCGUGUGUGAAGAAGGUCUUCGGAUUGUAAAGCACUUUAAGUUGGGAGGAAGGGCAGUAAAUUAAUACCUUGCUGUUUUGACGUUACCAACAGAAUAAGCACCGGCUAACUUCGUG
This 484-nucleotide ribosomal RNA is filed under the name uncultured bacterium. RNAcentral describes it as "partial 16S ribosomal RNA". It matches the Rfam family "Bacterial small subunit ribosomal RNA", at positions 30 to 507 of the family's 1533-position model. The record is from RNAcentral.